UGAGCACGCCUGGCCGGACUUCCCCGAGGAGCUUCCGGAACUGCCACCAAGCCCUGGCCGAGAGGAGCCUAUGCUGAUUGACUGGCCUGGACCCGUGCAACCGACGAGCCCACUGUAACAGCGGACGCGUAAGGAGUCGGUGUGGCUCCCCUCCUGCCCCAGGACGGUCAAGCCCCGGCCCAAUCGAUUACAAGCAGCAGCUGGAGGAGAAAUUGGCAGAAGUGGACCUGAGCUGCCUGGAAAUCCUCUUAAGUGGAGAUCAACAGUCCUCCGCUUUCUGCCUCCCACAUAACUGCCUUACCAAGGGAAAAGAAGUGGAGGGUCAGAGUCUGCUCCCCUCGUGCGAUGGAAAGCAAGUAAGAGCGGAGAGACAGUGAACGUUACUGAUGCCAGGCAAGAGCCGUCCAGCUUGGAGCCGAGUAGCCGUCACUGUCAGUGAGAGAAGUGUCUUGUUAGCUGCGCUGGUACAGGAAUUGUCCAGGAACCCUACCCGGAGGAGAGAGACUCAGAAGUGAACCUGAUCAGCCUGAACAUCCUUCUAAGCAGACAUGAACAGUCCUCAGCUUUCUGCCUCCUGCAUAAAUGGCUGAAAAAUCAUGUGCCAGUCUACUGCCCUCACGUGAUGGAAAGCGAGCAAGAGCGAUGAGACCGUGAGCAUGGUUGAUGCCACGCAAAAGCCGUCCAUCUGGCAGCAGAAGAGCCAUCACUGUCAGUGAGAAGUUUCAGAGUAGCAGCCGUGUUAGUCUGUAUCC
Long non-coding RNA from Mauremys reevesii (Reeves's turtle), 752 nucleotides. RefSeq lists it as uncharacterized. The record is from RefSeq and is a predicted model, not a curated record. The transcript has 5 exons. Lineage: Eukaryota; Metazoa; Chordata; Testudines; Geoemydidae.